CUCGGAUUCGUUACACUUGUGAUCUUUAGUAGACUCUUCGUGGUUUUCUGGUGUAGUUGAGAUGUCAGAACUCAUAUGAUUGGAAAUUGAAUUAGGGUAUCCAUCUUCACAAGCAAAACUAGAUCUUAAUGAUGAACGCUUUCGCUUGUAUGUGAAAACCACUUUACUGCCAACCAUUUGGACUGUUAUAGAUGAUUUCUGCAGCUGGACUCUAGAACUUUACCCCUCUAGAAGAAUGAAGCAUUUCACUUCUUACAUACAGUAAAAUACCAGUUGAUUUUCAAAUCAUUUAGAUAACUGCGAAAGUAGAUUGAUUGAUUAAAAACUAAAUAAGAGAGAGAUAGAGAGAGAUGUUUCACAUGGGCCAAUAGUUACUGAGAAAAAGAAAGUCAGCAGAACAUGCUAUAAAAGGAAAAUUCAGUUUAUAAAUGCUACAAUUUAAAGUAACUACUGAUAUACCAAAACUAGAUGCAUAUGAAAUUAUGAAUCUAAAAAACAUUGAUAUUUUUUUUAUUAGCAAAUCCAAAUCAGAUGUUGUCCAUAUAGUAAAUAAAACAAUUUUUUGGAAAUAAAAUGGAUGUAAUCCAGAUGUGAGGGCAAAUAGAUAGCCAUAUUACAUGAGAAUUUGCAAACUCUGACAGGAACCAUUGCAGUAAACACUUUAAUAUACAGACAAAGAGUUUUUAUCUCCUACAAUUUCGACAUUUCAAAUUCUAAUUAAUCACAGUAUAGAAACAAGACAAUUUUAUGUGAUCCUUGUUGGAACUUGUGACUCAUAACAUAGAAAUUACUGAAAAAGGCUAGUGUGAAACGGAGCGAGGGGCCCUCCGCGGUACGGUACAGAGUUUCUGCAUGUAUGGUACGGGGCGCGCCGAUGCAAGGCUGAGAGUGACCCAGGGUGCGCUAGGGUCUGUGCAGUUACUGCACAUGUGGCGCGGGGCGCGCCAAGGACAGCUUGGGAGCGGCGCGGGCCGCGCCGGUCGGCGGACUAAAGUUUAAUAGUUUGUUUUUGGGAGAACAUUAUGGGUAUUUGAGACAUAAUGUGAAGUAGGGUUGAAAUAGGAUUAGUGGCUAUAAAUACUAUCUAUUGUAAAGCCUUAUGUAACUAAGGAAUCAUUAAUAAAACAACAAGCUGCCUAUGGAGUACCCAAAUUGAGAAACCACGUAAAUCUCUGUGUUAAUCCUUAAUUAUCUAUUGUCGUGUGUGUGAUCUUAAUUUCUAACAAUCCUCAUUGACAAUAAAUUUAAAACUUUUCAGGAUGUAUUUAUGUCAAGUGAAUUCAAUUAUGCAUUUCUUUCAAAUUGCACAUUUCUUGUGAAAUCCCUACAGCUGUUUUGCACCUCGGAAAAACUGACAGGAAAAGGAAAAAAAUGAUAAAAACAACUUAAUUCCCUUUAUUAAACACAAAGUCGACUAUCUGUAUUAUUAUAAAACCUAAUACCAAUUAAAUUAUACAUUCACAUGUGAUGGAUCUCUUUGGAAAACUUUUCUUUUUCUACUUCUUUUUUCUUUUCUUAUCAUCCCUCAUUUUUCCAGUGUUCCUACUGUAAAAUACCUCGUAUACCACAGGAUUAAACCAAAAUUUGAAUAGCAAACCAAUGGAACUAAGUUACUUUCCAAUACCCUUUUUCCUUGAGCAAAAUUCUUCGGCUUAUCUCUUUUUGAACCAUUUCGGUAAAGUAGAAUUCAACCAAAAUAGCAAAACAGAAGUUUAAAAUUAUUUGUGAAAAGUUAAUUAUAAAGUCUCUAAUAACAGAGCAAAAAAAUUUGUUCCAAAACUAUCAACUACAAUACUCUAUCAUGUCCACAAGUUAAUAACAUUCCCAAAUAAACACUUCCUCGGCAAUUUUACUAACUUAACUUUGAAACUUUAUACCCUAUCCUAUACAGUGCAAUUCAUAUAGAUUUAAUUCAUGUCUCUAAAUAAUUAACAAAUAUACUUAUACUUAGAACCAUAAGUUAAUAAACAAACACAUUUAGUUAAGUACAGCUAGAAAACUGAACUAAAAGAAUAAUUGAUAGUCCCGAGGCCAAAAAUAUACAUACAUACACACAUAAUACUAGUGAAGAACACACUUGAGAUAUAUGAAGAAAGUAAACAAUUCAUCCGUAAUUUUACUAACUCAGAUUUGAAACUUUAUACCCCAUCCUUUACAAUGCAAUUUAUAUAGAUAUAGUAAAUUACCAAAUAUACUUGCAGUCUUGCACUUAAACCAGAAGUUAAAAAACAAACACAUUUCACCACUCCAAUCAAUGAAAAUUUUCAACUACAGCAACAAAACUUAACUGAAAGUAAUUGAUAGUCCCAAGGCCAAAUAUAUAUAUACAUUCAUAAAUGUAGAUUUAAUUUUUGUCUUUAAAUAAAUUAACAAAUAUACUUAUACUUAAAACCAGAAGUUAAAAAACAUACACAUUUCAUCUGUCCAGUCGAUGAAACUAAUUAAAGAUGAAAACUGAACUGAAAGAAUAAUUGAUAGUCCCGAGGCCAAAUAUAUACAUACAUACAUACAUACAUACAUAACACUUGAGAAGAAAGUACGACGUGAAAUGAGUUACCGGAAUCUACUUGCCUGAGAAGAAGCCGGCCGGCGGUGAGGAUUGAAGAUUUGGAGUUAGAGUUAAGCCGUACUCUUACUUCUCUUCUCUCUUAUUGCCUUUUGUGAUUACGUGGUAGAGUGCUUUCUUUUCUUUUUGGUCUGUUUGUAAACAGAGAAAGAGAGUGCAUAAAUUAGAG
This 2735-nucleotide long non-coding RNA is filed under the name Panax ginseng (ginseng). Its description in RNAcentral is "long non-coding RNA (PGIN_LNC009363)". The record is from RNAcentral. Lineage: Eukaryota; Viridiplantae; Streptophyta; Magnoliopsida; Apiales; Araliaceae.